UCGUACAAAAUGUGUUAGGCAUUGCGAGGGCUGUCGCUGACCGACACAAGGUCGUGCACGCCGGAGCGUGUCCUCUCACAUAACACAAUCCAUCUCACCCUUUGUGCACCACCGCGUGGGCCCCCUUUGGGGGGCUCGCGUUUUCACACAAAACCCCCCCCCUUUAAAAGUGUAGAAUGACCUCAUUUAUGAAAUCAAUAC
RNAcentral lists this unclassified non-coding RNA (201 nucleotides) under Lactarius rostratus. RNAcentral's name for it is "internal transribed spacer 1". The record is from RNAcentral. Lineage: Eukaryota; Fungi; Basidiomycota; Agaricomycetes; Russulales; Russulaceae.